RNAcentral lists this ribosomal RNA (1343 nucleotides) under uncultured bacterium. RNAcentral describes it as "16S ribosomal RNA". It matches the Rfam family "Bacterial small subunit ribosomal RNA", at positions 28 to 1378 of the family's 1533-position model. The record is from RNAcentral.
GACGAACGCUGGCGGCGUGCUUAACACAUGCAAGUCGAACGGAAAGGCCCUGCUUUUGUGGGGUGCUCGAGUGGCGAACGGGUGAGUAACACGUGAGUAACCUGCCCUUGACUUUGGGAUAACUUCAGGAAACUGGGGCUAAUACCGGAUAGGAGCUCCUGCUGCAUGGUGGGGGUUGGAGAGUUUCGGCGGUUGGGGAUGGACUCGCGGCUUAUCAGCUUGUUGGUGGGGUAGUGGCUUACCAAGGCUUUGACGGGUAGCCGGCCUGAGAGGGUGACCGGCCACAUUGGGACUGAGAUACGGCCCAGACUCCUACGGGAGGCAGCAGUGGGGAAUAUUGCACAAUGGGCGGAAGCCUGAUGCAGCAACGCCGCGUGCGGGAUGACGGCCUUCGGGUUGUAAACCGCUUUCGCCUGUGACGAAGCGUGAGUGACGGUAAUGGGUAAAGAAGCACCGGCUAACUACGUGCCAGCAGCCGCGGUGAUACGUAGGGUGCGAGCGUUGUCCGGAUUUAUUGGGCGUAAAGGGCUCGUAGGUGGUUGAUCGCGUCGGAAGUGUAAUCUUGGGGCUUAACCCUGAGCGUGCUUUCGAUACGGGUUGACUUGAGGAAGGUAGGGGAGAAUGGAAUUCCUGGUGGAGCGGUGGAAUGCGCAGAUAUUAGGAGGAACACCAGUGGCGAAGGCGGUUCUCUGGGCCUUUCCUGACGCUGAGGAGCGAAAGCGUGGGGAGCGAACAGGCUUAGAUACCCUGGUAGUCCACGCUGUAAACGGUGGGUACUAGGUGUGGGGUCCAUUCCACGGGUUCCGUGCCGUAGCUAACGCUUUAAGUACCCCGCCUGGGGAGUACGGCCGCAAGGCUAAAACUCAAAGGAAUUGACGGGGCCCCGCACAAGCGGCGGAGCAUGCGGAUUAAUUCGAUGCAACGCGUAGAACCUUACCUGGGUUUGACAUGGAUCGGGAGCGCUCAGAGAUGGGUGUGCCUCUUUUGGGGUCGGUUCACAGGUGGUGCAUGGCUGUCGUCAGCUCGUGUCGUGAGAUGUUGGGUUAAGUCCCGCAACGAGCGCAACCCUUGUCCACUGUUGCCAGCACGUUAUGGUGGGGACUCAGUGGAGACCGCCGGGGUCAACUCGGAGGAAGGUGGGGAUGACGUCAAGUCAUCAUGCCCCUUAUGUCCAGGGCUUCACGCAUGCUACAAUGGCUGGUACAGAGAGUGGCGAGCCUGUGAGGGUGAGCGAAUCUCGGAAAGCCGGUCUCAGUUCGGAUUGGGGUCUGCAACUCGACCUCAUGAAGUCGGAGUCGCUAGUAAUCGCAGAUCAGCAACGCUGCGGUGAAUACGUUCCCGGG